RNAcentral lists this ribosomal RNA (203 nucleotides) under uncultured eukaryote. RNAcentral's name for it is "partial 28S ribosomal RNA". It matches the Rfam family "Eukaryotic large subunit ribosomal RNA", at positions 1280 to 1464 of the family's 3401-position model. The record is from RNAcentral.
GUGUAACAACUCACCUGCCGAAACAACUAGCCCUGCAAAUGGAUGGCGCUCAAGCGUUCUCCCGAUACUUGACCGUCGGGGCAGUAAAUGCCCUUGCAGGUCUCGAAUCCCCGACGAGUAGGAGGGUCGUAGUGGUGAGCGUUGAAGUAACCGGCAUGAGCCGGCUUAGAGCCGCCGCUACUUCAGAUCUUGGUGGUAGUAGC